GGAUCGCCCUUCGAUUAGAUACCCCUGUAGUCCUAGCCGUAAACGAUGCUCGCUAGGUGUCAGUCACGGUGCGACCGUGAUUGGUGCCGUAGGGAAGCCGUGAAGCGAGCCACCUGGGAAGUAUGGCCGCAAGGCUGAAACUUAAAGGAAUUGGCGGGGGAGCACUACAACGGGUGGAGCCUGCGGUUUAAUUGGAUUCAACGCCGGAAAUCUCACCGGGGGCGACAGCGAUAUGAAGGUCAGGCUGAAGACUUUACCGGAUUAGCUGAGAGGUGGUGCAUGGCAAGGGCGAUCCA
RNAcentral lists this ribosomal RNA (296 nucleotides) under uncultured archaeon. RNAcentral describes it as "partial 16S ribosomal RNA". It matches the Rfam family "Archaeal small subunit ribosomal RNA", at positions 714 to 1010 of the family's 1478-position model. The record is from RNAcentral. RNAcentral also lists the same sequence under 1 other name.